Molecule: non-coding RNA, 31 nt
Filed under: Mus musculus (house mouse)
Lineage: Eukaryota; Metazoa; Chordata; Mammalia; Rodentia; Muridae
Source: RNAcentral
UGGAACUCACUCCGUAGACCAGGCUGGCCUC